AGUGCUACACCGGAUGAACGGAUUACUUUGAUGAAGUAAAAUAUGGGGAAAAUCCCUAGCACUC
Molecule: transfer RNA, 64 nt
Filed under: Hyriopsis bialata
Lineage: Eukaryota; Metazoa; Mollusca; Bivalvia; Unionida; Unionidae
Description: tRNA-Ile
Source: RNAcentral